Molecule: ribosomal RNA, 453 nt
Filed under: uncultured Thauera sp.
Lineage: Bacteria; Pseudomonadati; Pseudomonadota; Betaproteobacteria; Rhodocyclales; Zoogloeaceae
Description: bacterial SSU rRNA
Rfam family: Bacterial small subunit ribosomal RNA
Source: RNAcentral
ACAAGCGGUGGAUGAUGUGGAUUAAUCGAUGCAACGCGAAAACCUUACUACCCUUGACAUGUCUGGAACCUUGCUGAGAGGCGAGGGUGCCUUCGGGAGCCAGAACACAGGUGCUGCAUGGCUGUCGUCAGCUCGUGUCGUGAGAUGUUGGGUUAAGUCCCGCAACGAGCGCAACCCUUGUCAUUAGUUGCCAUCAUUUAGUUGGGCACUCUAAUGAGACUGCCGGUGACAAACCGGAGGAAGGUGGGGAUGACGUCAAGUCCUCAUGGCCCUUAUGGGUAGGGCUUCACACGUCAUACAAUGGUCGGUACAGAGGGUUGCCAAGCCGCGAGGUGGAGCCAAUCCCUUAAAGCCGAUCGUAGUCCGGAUCGUAGUCUGCAACUCGACUACGUGAAGUCGGAAUCGCUAGUAAUCGCAGAUCAGAAUGUCGCGGUGAAUACGUUCCCGGGUCUU